This is a long non-coding RNA of Bos taurus (domestic cattle), 491 nucleotides long. NCBI's taxonomy places the organism in Eukaryota, Metazoa, Chordata, Mammalia, Artiodactyla, Bovidae. The record is from Ensembl.
GGAGGGUUCUUGUGGCUGCAAAUGUGGGGGUCAUGGGAGCCAUGGACCUAUGGGACUAGGAGGAGGCCUGGAGACUCUGACUUCUGCAGCGGGAUACUCCUGAGCCAGAAGCUCUGAUCCGAGUUUGGGAAGGGCUGACCACCUUGUCCUCUACCUGGCUCACAAUCUGGUAUCCCAGUCCCCCCUGCUACUGUGAUUGGUUCCAGGAGGAGCACGUGACCUCAGUCAAUCCAAUGGGAGUCGGUUUUGGAACGUAAGCCAUAAAGACUGGGAAAGUGGCUCUCCCUUGGUUGCCAUCCUUGCUGCAGCAUGGACAUGGUCAUGGUCAGCUAAGAAGGAAGCCCACACAGAAGGAAACAGUCAAGGGAAGGAGAGAAAAUCCGAUGCCAUCAUCAAGUCCCUCAUCUGGCUAUACCAAAGCCAAAUAAACAUCCCAAACCUCCCAAUUAUCUCCUCACUUCACCAGAACAGAAUGGUCUCCCCAAGCCAGA